GCUGGCGGCGCNGUCACACAUGAAAGAAGAACGAGAAAGGGGAGCAAUCCCUGAGUACAGUGGCGUACGGUGACCAACACGUGGAUGAUCUACCUUCUGGUGGGGAAUAACCCUGGGAAACCGGGGCUAAUACCGCAUAAGCACGAGAGUGGAAAGCAGCAAUGCGCCGGAAGAGGAGUCCGCGGCCGAUUAGCUAGUUGGCAGGGUAAAAGCCUACCAAGGCAAAGAUCGGUAGCCGGCCUGAGAGGGCACACGGCCACACUGGCACUGAAACACGGGCCAGACUCCUACGGGAGGCAGCAGUGGG
RNAcentral lists this ribosomal RNA (307 nucleotides) under uncultured Acidobacteriota bacterium. RNAcentral's name for it is "bacterial SSU rRNA". It matches the Rfam family "Bacterial small subunit ribosomal RNA", at positions 35 to 358 of the family's 1533-position model. Lineage: Bacteria; Pseudomonadati; Acidobacteriota. The record is from RNAcentral.